AUUGAACGCUGGCGGCAGGCCUAACACAUGCAAGUCGAACGAGUGGCGGACGGGUGAGUAAUGUCUGGGAAACUGCCUGAUGGAGGGGGAUAACUACUGGAAACGGUAGCUAAUACCCCAUACCAUCAGAUGUGCCCAGAUGGGAUUAGCUUGUUGGUGGGGUAAAGGCUCACCUAGGCGACGAUCCCUAGCUGGUCUGAGAGGAUGACGAGCCAGACUGGAACGGAGACACGGUCCAGACUGCUACGGGAGGCAGCAGUGGGGAAUAUGGCAGACUGGGGUGAAGCCUGAUGCAGCCAUGCCGCGUGUAUGAAGAAGGCCUUCGGCUUGUAAAGUACUGUCAGCGGGGAGGCGUUACCCGCAGAAGAAGCCCCGGCUAACUCCGUGCCAGCAGCCGCGGUAAUUC
RNAcentral lists this ribosomal RNA (406 nucleotides) under uncultured bacterium. RNAcentral describes it as "partial 16S ribosomal RNA". It matches the Rfam family "Bacterial small subunit ribosomal RNA", at positions 30 to 526 of the family's 1533-position model. The record is from RNAcentral.